Molecule: ribosomal RNA, 509 nt
Filed under: Sabellastarte spectabilis
Lineage: Eukaryota; Metazoa; Annelida; Polychaeta; Sabellida; Sabellidae
Description: partial 16S ribosomal RNA
Rfam family: Bacterial large subunit ribosomal RNA
Source: RNAcentral
UAUCAAAAACAUCGCCUAAAGACACCCCCAUUCUAGGUAUAUUCUGCCCAGUGAGAGUAACCCUCUUAAACGGCCACAGUACCCUGACUGUGCAAAGGUAGCAUAAUAAUUUGCCACUUAAUUAGUGGCUAGAAUGAAGGAACAAAUGGAAAGCCACUUUAUUAUUCUUCCCUAUAAAAAUUAGUAUUCAAGCGAAUAACCUUGGAUUUCCCUGAAAGACAAAAAGACCCUACUGAACUUAAAGACACCCCCUAAAUCUAGGCCGUACUCUUUUAGCUGGGAAGGCUUAAGAGCACCCCCAACCUCUUAGUUCCUACAAUAGACCCUAAGUCACCCCUUUGACCCACCUACUGUUCAUCAAAUAUAAGUUACCAUAGGGAUAACAGGCUAAUGCUUCUCGAAAGUCCAUAUUAACAGAAGCGAUUGGUACCUCGAUGUUGGCUUAGGAACACUUUAUAUCGCAGCCGGUAUAAACAGUUGGUUUGUUCAACCAUUAAAUUCCUACAUGA